RNAcentral lists this long non-coding RNA (305 nucleotides) under Phoenix dactylifera (date palm). RNAcentral's name for it is "long non-coding RNA (PDAC_LNC012134)". Lineage: Eukaryota; Viridiplantae; Streptophyta; Magnoliopsida; Arecales; Arecaceae. The record is from RNAcentral.
UAAAACUUAAUGAGUAAUUAAUUAAAUCUAUUGCAAGCAGGUUAAAUAGAUUACUAAAUGUAGUGAAUGGAGAGAGGAAAAGAGACAAUUAAUCAAUACAAACUCAAGAGACUUUAUAGUGGUUCGGAGCCAACUCUUACUCCUACGUCCACUCCCCAAGCUGCACUUGGGAGUUCACUAUAAUCCCUAGGAUUACAGCUAGUUGUUUUACAAGUUCACAACCCAACUUGUUGUUUUUGCGAGAUCACAACGAACUCGGUCGGUUUUCACAGGCUCACCGACUAGAACCACCCGAUUGUUUUUCC